UAAAAGCUCUGGGAUUUUUCUGGAAUGAAUAAAUGAAAAAAGGUUUCACUUUGGGAAAAUAGGGGAAUAGACAAAAAAACCUUUCGGUCUAACUAAAUUGUAUUUGUACUUGUUUUCGAUUUUAAUUGUGGAUGGAACUAGACAAUUCAAAGUACCUGAUGGCCAAAAUCAUUGUAGAAUGUGUUGUGAAAUCAGUUCUCAGAAAUUUGGUGUGAUCACUGUGUUCAUGUUAAGUCAUUUUGGGCUUUGUUGACACAUUCCUUGCGAUGUUGCUAUUAUAGAGUUGAACUUGAGGCUGAAUCUAGACACAAAUUUAUUUUUUAUUCUCAGCAAUCUAAUCUAGAUUAACUCUAAAGCUGAAUAUUGCCUGUUUUCACAUGUAGUUAUAGUGUUCUUUUUUCUGUCUAGAUCACUGGGGAUGCACUUGAUGCUUAUUCAAAAACUGCAUGUGUUGGUAGUGUAAGAGAGUGGCCUGGACAAAUAUUUUUUUUGUCUAUCCCAAACUUUCUGGACAACACAAGUACAGAUGGCUAUUAGAAAUGGUCAAGGGCACUGGAGGAUUUUCUGGAACAGAAUAAUAGGUUGAGGAUGUUGCCACCUUGGUGCGAGGAAAGCUGUCUAAGCAGAAUGGAGUGACUGCAGGAGCACUUGUUGUGCUUGAUGUUCAUGCUAGGAAUGUUCUUGCAUCUCCAGUAAGCAAAAAAGUCAAAGAUGAGAGUGACUUUGAGUGGUUAAGUCAGCUUAGGUGCUACUGGGAGUUAAGUGAUACCUCUCAAUCCUAUUAGAAGAGUGACAAAAAUGUUGCAUCCAAAAAGCUGAAGUUGAAUCAAGAUGAAGGAAAAUUAAAGAUUGCUAUUGGUCUGAGAAAGAAAGAAGCAGACCUGAGGAAGGUUCAAGAUAAGUUGCUGUACUCCACCAGACAUGAGAAUCCAAGAAGAAAAGAGAAGGCUGACUUGGAAAUCAGGUUGACUUAUACAGCAAAAAACUACAAUGAACAGAACAAUUGAUUGGUGGCCUUGGGGAUGAGAAAAUUCACUGGCAUGAGACUGCUUUGGAGCUGGGAAGUGAAAUAAACAGAAAUUCAGAACACAAGAAGAUUUUUACAUGGCAGAUGGUUUGAUAUGUUGGAAAUUUUGGAUGCCAAAAUUACCCUGACUUCGAGUGUUUUUGAACACCAAAACCUGCCACUGAGUGCAGCUGAAGAAAUUGAUGUCCAUUUAUUUUGAAAAUCAGGUUCACAUUUGGAAGUAGAGAUGCGUGGAUAACACUUCAGCUCUGGCAACCGGAUAGGUGACAAAGUGC
Long non-coding RNA from Lepidothrix coronata (blue-crowned manakin), 1302 nucleotides. RefSeq lists it as uncharacterized. The record is from RefSeq and is a predicted model, not a curated record. Lineage: Eukaryota; Metazoa; Chordata; Aves; Passeriformes; Pipridae. The transcript is spliced from 6 exons.